CAACAAGUAUUUUAUAUUAAAAUAUAAGUUUUGGAGGCUUAGGAUGUGAAAUUUUUCACUUUGUUGA
Molecule: transfer RNA, 67 nt
Filed under: Dalbulus maidis (maize leafhopper)
Lineage: Eukaryota; Metazoa; Arthropoda; Insecta; Hemiptera; Cicadellidae
Description: tRNA-Pro
Source: RNAcentral